AACAGAUCCUGCUCGCGAACUUUGAUCGUCUUCGAAAUCAGAACUGAAGUUAAUCUCCUGUGGUUUCAAUAUUUCCAUUGUUUUUUCUUUUUUUUUUUUUCCUUUUUCUUGUCUCGGAAGUCAAAAUCACUUGAAGAAGAUUCUCAAAUUCCACAUCAAUGCCGAGCGAUAAUCAUAGCUUGUUGAAAACGAUUUGGUGUGGUGGACGUCUGUCAUAUGAUGUGAAAUUUUCUCACCGAGCUUUGAUGAACAAUGGCGGAUUAUGUCGGGACGAACAAUGGAAUUCAGAUUUGCUGUUGCCAAUGGAGUUGAUGAAUAUGUUAAUCGAAAUCGAGAAAGUUGGGGAACAAUCGUGUUGCUGGUGCUGCAAUAUCGUGUCCAUAUCUGGUGGAUGUUUCCUGGCAUCUCGUCGUCAAGGAGCCAAUUCUUCGACAAUCGGAGUUGAUAAGCGAACAGCAUAUAGUUUGCGAUUAAGAAACAGCAACUGUGAGAUGAGAUGACUGGUAAGGAAGCUGGAUUCAACUUUUAAUGAUCUCUUCCCGUUUGAGUUUGACAGGCGGUUCUUUGAGAAAUUCAGGACCUUCCUCACGUAUGGCUGUGUGGUUUGCAUGUACAAAGACGUUAUCGGUGUUUUUGCC
This is a long non-coding RNA of Cucurbita pepo subsp. pepo (vegetable marrow), 638 nucleotides long. RefSeq lists it as uncharacterized. Lineage: Eukaryota; Viridiplantae; Streptophyta; Magnoliopsida; Cucurbitales; Cucurbitaceae. The record is from RefSeq and is a predicted model, not a curated record.